RNAcentral lists this ribosomal RNA (490 nucleotides) under uncultured bacterium. Its description in RNAcentral is "partial 16S ribosomal RNA". It matches the Rfam family "Bacterial small subunit ribosomal RNA", at positions 29 to 507 of the family's 1533-position model. The record is from RNAcentral.
AUUGAACGCUGGCGGCAGGCCUGACACAUGCAAGUCGAACGGUAACAGGAAGCAGCUUGCUGCUUUGCUGACGAGUGGCGGACGGGUGAGUAAUGUCUGGGAAACUGCCUGAUGGAGGGGGAUAACUACUGGAAACGGUAGCUAAUACCGCAUAACGUCGCAAGACCAAAGAGGGGGACCUUCGGGCCUCUUGCCAUCGGAUGUGCCCAGAUGGGAUUAGCUAGUAGGUGGGGUAACGGCUCACCUAGGCGACGAUCCCUAGCUGGUCUGAGAGGAUGACGAGCAAAAUGGGACCGAGAACACGGUCCAGACUCCAAGGGGAGCCAGAAGAGGGGAACAUUGGACAUUGAGGGAAGGCCUGAUGAAGAAAGGCGGCGGGUAUGAAGAAGGCCUUCGGGUGGAAAAGUACGUUCAGAGGGGAGGAAGGGAGUAAAGGUAAAAACUUUACUAAUUGACGUUACCCGCAGAAGAAGCACCGGCUAACUCCGUG